Molecule: unclassified non-coding RNA, 833 nt
Filed under: Hevea brasiliensis (rubber tree)
Lineage: Eukaryota; Viridiplantae; Streptophyta; Magnoliopsida; Malpighiales; Euphorbiaceae
Source: RNAcentral
AUCUUUCUUCCCUUUCUAUAGUCUCCAACGGAAGGAAAAGCCAAGAAAAAAGAAAAAGAUUUUCCCUUUUACCAAACAAAAGAAACUUCACAAAAGUUGGAAUUCAGAAAUUUUCCCUUUGGAUUCCUUCACUUUGAUUUCUCCUGCAUCUGCAAGCUCCAGCUCUUGUAAUAUGUGAUUUCCGUAUUCAAUUUCGACGUCAUAACUCAACUCUAUCUAUUUCUAUUCGUUGUGUUGCUUUUGGCCUUGUUAUGAGAGGAUUGGGUGGGGUAUAGUGUGGGUUUGGUUGCCUUUUUGGUAGAGAUAUUGCGUAGCUAUUGGUUGAGUUUGGUCUUUUCUUGUUUCAUCUUGCUUUAUCUGUUGUUGAAGGAGAAUGCUAAAUGCUAAUGUUUGUUGCAUGUUAGAUAAUUGCAGCUACUAGACUGCAUUUCUGGUUAGUCAUUAUUGUCAAUUAGAACUAACUCAUUACAUCUGUAAUGCUGCUGCUCUGAGUGAGUACCCUUCUAUUUGAACUGUGUCAAACUAACGGAGUGAUAUUGUUGCUGGUGUCUGUAUGUUUGUUUAUGUGUUUGCAUUUUCUGAUUUUUUUUAUUGUGUUUUCGUUGCUUUGUGGGCUGAUGGAGUGAUUUGUGAACACAAGAAAAUAUUAACUUUUUUCUUUUCACCUUUUGACUUUUUUUGUUUUGGGAGUUCUGGGGAGGGUGGGGGACGGGGAGAGAGUGGAAGAAAGUGAAGAAAAAAUCCAUCUGGUUACUGUGGAGAUCUGGGACUUCUUUCAUCUCUUAUGCCCAAUGAGGACUUUCUUCCCCUCUGAGUCAUGUAAAGAGUCACAA